This 253-nucleotide ribosomal RNA is filed under the name uncultured bacterium. RNAcentral's name for it is "partial 16S ribosomal RNA". It matches the Rfam family "Bacterial small subunit ribosomal RNA", at positions 524 to 776 of the family's 1533-position model. The record is from RNAcentral.
UACGAAGGGGGCUAGCGUUGCUCGGAUUGACUGGGCGUAAAGGGCGCGUAGGCGGUUCGUACAGUCAGACGUGAAAUUCCUGGGCUCAACCUGGGGGCUGCGUUUGAUACGUGCGGACUUGAGUGCGGAAGAGGGUCGUGGAAUUCCCAGUGUAGAGGUGAAAUUCGUAGAUAUUGGGAAGAACGCCGGUGGCGAAGGCGGCGACCUGGUCCGAUACUGACGCUGAGGCGCGAAAGCGUGGGGAGCAAACAGG